AUUGAACGCUGGCGGCAGGCCUAACACAUGCAAGUCGAGCGGGGUUUUCGGACCUAGCGGCGGACGGGUGAGUAAUGCGUAGGAAGCUACCCGAUAGAGGGGGAUACCAGUUGGAAACGACUGUUAAUACCGCAUAAUGUCUACGGACCAAAGUGUGGGACCUUCGGGCCACAUGCUAUCGGAUGCGCCUACGUGGGAUUAGCUAGUUGGUGGGGUAAUGGCUCACCAAGGCGACGAUCCGUAACUGGUCUGAGAGGAUGAUCAGUCACACUGGAACUGAGACACGGUCCAGACUCCUACGGGAGGCAGCAGUGGGGAAUAUUGGACAAUGGGCGAAGCCUGAUCCAGCCAUGCCGCGUGUGUGAAGAAGGUCUUCGGAUUGUAAAGCACUUUAAGUUGGGAGGAAGGGUUGUAGAUUAAUACUCUGCAAUUUUGACGUUACCGACAGAAUAAGCACCGGCUAACUCUGUGCCAGCAGCCGCGGUAAAGUCGUACG
RNAcentral lists this ribosomal RNA (496 nucleotides) under uncultured bacterium. Its description in RNAcentral is "bacterial SSU rRNA". It matches the Rfam family "Bacterial small subunit ribosomal RNA", at positions 30 to 531 of the family's 1533-position model. The record is from RNAcentral.